This is a long non-coding RNA of Pseudoliparis swirei, 215 nucleotides long. RefSeq lists it as uncharacterized. The record is from RefSeq and is a predicted model, not a curated record. The transcript has 3 exons. Lineage: Eukaryota; Metazoa; Chordata; Actinopteri; Perciformes; Liparidae.
CUAAGGCCCAGGACCUCUUUAGUGAGUGGACCUUAAGACCUGUUGGCCCAGAUGGAAGAGUAAAGCUGUGGGUUUACGCCGUGACUGCUGUUGGAUUCAUCUUCAUUCUCUUCAUUAUUGCAUUAUCCUUCCUGGUUUGCAAGCCGUCGAAAUCUACGAAGACGUCUCCUCCGCCGCAGAAGCCCUUGACCCUGGCCUACGAUGGUGACAUAGAU